UCAAUCAUAGAUAUUAGAGUACAUAGGGAUUGGAAACGGGCCGUAGCAACAGGAAAAUGCUAGUUGAUAGUACCGUAAAUAAUUUCUCUAAAUACUCGUAUGUAAAAUUAAAAUGACUGAAAGUUGAAAAAGGUAACCCUUCAAUAAUGUUUAGACAUUCUUCCUGUUUGCCCAAGCUGUCAGCUGUAGCAAUGUAUCUGUUUGCAGUUUAAAUUCAGUGUUUUAUGAAUUAGCAAUCAUUAUUGAUCACAUUUACUAUAUUUAGUUCUAUUUUUUGUUUUGUACAACCUAUUGAAUAGAAAUGGUGUUGGCGACCUCCGGUGUGUUCUAAGCAAUACAAUGGUAUGAUAGCUAAUGUCACAGACCCUUUGGUUUUUAUGUUAAGGAAAGAUGCAACCGUAUUUCCAAACGAAACAUAGUGGGCGACCUCGACAUUAUGAAUCUCUAUUGAGUGGUUGAAUAAGUUAUUGUUUUCUGUCUAACACUACUGAGAUAAGGGUACAAAACAAAAUGUCAUUCUAAGCAUUCUCAUUCCAGAGCAAAUAUUCAGUGUAAAUGAUGAUGCUAGCAACAUAAAAAUUAGUCUGGGGAUAGAUGCCGGUCUCCUCUGCUUCCUUUGAUAUAAAUAAUGACGUAUAGUGACACCACUGCUGGAAUGACAGGUCUCAAAAAGACAGCUCUUGCUCAAAGACAGCCUCCGUUGCUAGGCGUUGCUACACGCCCAAGAGUUGGAACAUGGACCAGUCCUGAUACAGGCCUGAAUCAUUACUGAUGAUCGAGCCUGGACCGAGGAUUUGGGGCAAUGUCCUGAUCCGAUAUUGACGAAUCAGCCACGAUUUAUGCUGGUGCCAGACCUGAUCCGACAACGAUAACGAUAUUCAUUAAGCCUCAUUAUGACGUAAUUCCUGUUAUGCUUAAUUAAUACUUAAUUAUUAUUCAUUAUUAAUUUAAAAUGAUUUGGAAUUAUUAUUAAAACCAAAAAAAAGAUUAUAAUUGUUUUCUUCAUCAUAGUCUACCAAUGUUCCACAAGCAAGACACUUCAUGUUUUGUAACUUAAGACAC
RNAcentral lists this long non-coding RNA (1062 nucleotides) under Amphimedon queenslandica. RNAcentral describes it as "uncharacterized LOC109592304, transcript variant X2". The record is from RNAcentral. Lineage: Eukaryota; Metazoa; Porifera; Demospongiae; Haplosclerida; Niphatidae.